UAAUACGAGUGGAGCAAGCGUUGUUCGGAAUCACUGGGCGUAAAGGGUGCGCAGGCGGGCAUGAAAGUCAGGAGUGAAAGCCCAGGGCUUAACCUUGGAACUGCUUCUGAAACUUCAUGUCUAGAGUCCGGUAGAGGUUGGCAGAAUUCCCAGUGUAGAGGUGAAAUUCGUAGAUAUUGGGAGGAAUACCAGUGGCGUAAGCGGCCAACUGGACCGGUACUGACGCUCAUGCACGAAAGCGUGGGGAGCAAACAGGAUUAGAUACCCUGGUAGUCCACGCCGUAAACGAUGUGUGCUAGUUGUUGGGUCCCUCAGGGGCUCGGUGACGCAGCUAACGCUUUAAGCACACCGCCUGGGGAGUACGGUCGCAAGAUUAAAACUCAAAUGAAUUGACGG
This 396-nucleotide ribosomal RNA is filed under the name bacterium enrichment culture. RNAcentral's name for it is "bacterial SSU rRNA". It matches the Rfam family "Bacterial small subunit ribosomal RNA", at positions 521 to 916 of the family's 1533-position model. The record is from RNAcentral.